RNAcentral lists this ribosomal RNA (467 nucleotides) under uncultured bacterium. RNAcentral's name for it is "partial 16S ribosomal RNA". It matches the Rfam family "Bacterial small subunit ribosomal RNA", at positions 28 to 506 of the family's 1533-position model. The record is from RNAcentral.
GACGAACGCUGGCGGCGUGCUUAACACAUGCAAGUCGAACGGAAAGGCCCUGCUUUUGUGGGGUGCUCGAGUGGCGAACGGGUGAGUAACACGUGAGUAACCUGCCCUUGACUUUGGGAUAACUUCAGGAAACUGGGGCUAAUACCGGAUAGGAGCUCCUGCUGCAUGGUGGGGGUUGGAAAGUUUCGGCGGUUGGGGAUGGACUCGCGGCUUAUCAGCUUGUUGGUGGGGUAGUGGCUUACCAAGGCUUUGACGGGUAGCCGGCCUGAGAGGGUGACCGGCCACAUUGGGACUGAGAUACGGCCCAGACCCCUACGGGGGGGAGCGGUGGGGAAUAUUGCAAAAUGGGGGGAAGCCUGAUGCAGAAACGCCGCGUGGGGGAGGACGGCCUUCGGGUUGUAAACCGCUUUCGCCUGUGACGAAGCGUGAGUGACGGUAAUGGGUAAAGAAGCACCGGCUAACCACGU